Molecule: unclassified non-coding RNA, 349 nt
Filed under: soil metagenome
Description: partial contains 5.8S ribosomal RNA, internal transcribed spacer 2, and large subunit ribosomal RNA
Rfam family: 5.8S ribosomal RNA (bases 1-120)
Source: RNAcentral
GAUGAAGAACGUAGUGAAAUGCGAUAAGUAAUGUGAAUUGCAGAAUUCAGUGAAUCAUCGAAUCUUUGAACGCACAUUGCGCCCGCCAGUAUUCUGGCGGGCAUGCCUGUUCGAGCGUCAUUUCAACCCUCAAGCCCAGCUUGGUGUUGGGGAUCGGCACAGGCGCCCUCGGGCGCCCGCCGUCCCCUAAAUCUAGUGGCGGUCCCGCUGCAGCCUCCUCUGCGUAGUAGUUUUCUCCUCGCAAGGGCAGCUCGGCGGCGACCUCGCCGUAAAACCCCCAACUUCUGAAAGGUUGACCUCGAAUCAGGUAGGAAUACCCGCUGAACUUAAGCAUAUCAAUAGCGGAGGA